UUCAACCUGAUCUAUUUAUCCCUCACAUAUGCCAUUAGCUGUUUCUUGAAAGUGUGUGUGAGGAAAAAGGCUACUAUCUUGAUGUGUUCGUGUUCAACCAUUGUUUCCUUUUUUCUUCUUCCUCUUUUUGUGAUAUUGCUAUCACUACCUUGAUCCUUCGUGUGCUAGUAAAAGGGCAAUUGGAGUGGGUGUAGAGGCAACCGAAGUGGAAGUUGUAUUUCAGUCAAACCAGAGGCCGAUUGGAAAAACCAAAACCACGGUCGUGCUCAACAGGUCAAGGCACACCUAUCAAGUCGAUGCAAGACAAUUACACAUUAAACAUUUUUGGUGCAAUUGCUUGAAGAUAGUUUGUUCCUUGAUGCUUUAGUGUGAAUAAUGGUGGGUCUAAAGCAGUAAAGCAUAAGAUUCACAUCUCCCCUUAUUUACGGACCGACAAAUUGGUCCACUGGUUAGUACGAGGACAAUUGGAGAAGGUGUAAAAGCAACUGAAGUGGAAGUUGUGUUUCUGGUUUUCGAGCCUCAUUCGAUUGGUGAUUAUUGUUGGUUUAAAUUGAGUCCGAUUUUCACAAGAUUGAAGUGUAUUCCGCUUACAAUUUUCUUGCAUAAUAAAAUUUUAUGGUCUCAACUUGAGUAAUUGGGAUGAAUAAAUAAAGAGAUAAA
Molecule: long non-coding RNA, 660 nt
Organism: Olea europaea var. sylvestris
Lineage: Eukaryota; Viridiplantae; Streptophyta; Magnoliopsida; Lamiales; Oleaceae
Exons: 3
Source: RefSeq, a predicted model, not a curated record